Molecule: unclassified non-coding RNA, 306 nt
Filed under: uncultured fungus
Lineage: Eukaryota; Fungi
Description: partial contains 5.8S ribosomal RNA, internal transcribed spacer 2, and large subunit ribosomal RNA
Rfam family: 5.8S ribosomal RNA (bases 1-52)
Source: RNAcentral
AACGCACCUUGCGCUCUCUGGUAUUCCGGAGAGCAUGCCUGUUUGAGUGUCAUGAACUCUUCAACCCACCGGUUCCUUGUUGGACCGAGCUGGUGUUUGGAUUCUGAUCGCUGCAAGCUCUGUCUUGCUCGGUCGUAAUACAUUAGCCCUCUCAAUUUCGAACUUCGGAUUGACUCAGCGUAAUAGACUAUUCGCUGAGGACACCCUCGGGUGGCCGACCAGUAGAUGACAGUAGAGGCUUCCAAUCCAUCUAGUCAAAUCUUUAGAUUAGACCUCAGAUCAGGCAGGAUUACCCGCUGAACUUAA